ACCGACGCUCUCUCACGCACACACGCACGCUUCACUGCAUCGGUGCUCUCUCCGUUUCUGUACUGGCUGCCUCUCACAUCAAUGGCCCUCUUCUGUGAUUCCUCGUCGCGGCAACCGUCGCGGUUGAAACGACACUGCCGAUGGAAUCACCCGCGGCCGCAUGCGCAUGCACUCCAGCAGCAGACACUCUCAGAGCGGGCAAAGAGGAGGGGCGACAGGUCGUCGGCGGCGCUAUCCGUCUCCAUUCGUCGCCAAUUUCCAUCCGUACUCUUUCAAGUUCCGUACGCACACGAACCGCGCACGCGAGCUUUGCGGAACGGGUGCGUGGGUGCGCGCUAGUCCUGUGUAUGGGUGUCCGCUCGAGACACCACUACUGCUACCCCCUUUGGCAAGUACGAGACAGUGGGACGAGAGCGAAGAGUGACUGCGCUCGCGCCGCCCUGCGAGAGUCCGUGGCCCCGAAUUCGUCGAAACGCGUUCAUCUGAGAGAGACUGAGUGUUGACGAAGCCGCGCGCGGGCACUUGACCCCCUCCCUCAUUUGGUGUUGGUUGUCUGUUAGCCUUCGCUGUAUCGAGAAGAGUCUCUCUGUUGGUCGUCUGCCAAGUGCUCUUCGUUGGAGCACUGCCGCGCUCUCUCUCUCUCUCUCUUUCUCUGUUUUUCUUUGUGCUGCCCUGAUCGAAUCCCUGAG
This 689-nucleotide unclassified non-coding RNA is filed under the name Leishmania donovani. RNAcentral describes it as "gene:unknown". Lineage: Eukaryota; Euglenozoa; Kinetoplastea; Trypanosomatida; Trypanosomatidae. The record is from RNAcentral.